This 301-nucleotide ribosomal RNA is filed under the name uncultured bacterium. Its description in RNAcentral is "partial 16S ribosomal RNA". It matches the Rfam family "Bacterial small subunit ribosomal RNA", at positions 509 to 807 of the family's 1533-position model. The record is from RNAcentral.
CAGUAGCCACGGUAAUACGGAGGGUGCAAGCGUUAAUCGGAAUUACUGGGCGUAAAGCGCACGCAGGCGGUCUGACAAGUCAGAUGUGAAAUCCCCGGGCUUAACCUGGGAACUGCAUUUGAAACUGUCAGGCUGGAGUCUUGUAGAGGGGGGUGGAAUUCCAGGUGUAGCGGUGAAAUGCGUAGAGAUCUGGAGGAAUACCGGUGGCGAAGGCGGCCCCCUGGACAAAGACUGACGCUCAGGUGCGAAAGCGUGGGGAGCAAACAGGAUUAGAUACCCGAGUAGUCCCUGUCUCUUAUAC